This 253-nucleotide ribosomal RNA is filed under the name uncultured bacterium. RNAcentral describes it as "partial 16S ribosomal RNA". It matches the Rfam family "Bacterial small subunit ribosomal RNA", at positions 524 to 776 of the family's 1533-position model. The record is from RNAcentral.
GACGAACCGUGCGAACGUUGUUCGGAAUCACUGGGCUUAAAGGGCGCGUAGGCGGGUCAUCAAGUCAGGGGUGAAAUACUUCGGCCUAACCGGAGAAGUGCUUUUGAUACUGGUGACCUCGAGGGGUGCAGGGGCAUGUGGAACUUCCGGUGGAGCGGUGAAAUGCGUAGAUAUCGGAAGGAACGCCGGUGGCGAAAGCGACGUGCUGGACACCUUCUGACGCUGAGGCGCGAAAGCCAGGGGAGCAAACGGG